AUUGAACGCUGGCGGCAUGCCUUACACAUGCAAGUCGAACGGUAACGCGGGGCAACCUGGCGACGAGUGGCGAACGGGUGAGUAAUAUAUCGGAACGUGCCCAGUUGUGGGGGAUAACUGCUCGAAAGAGCAGCUAAUACCGCAUACGACCUGAGGGUGAAAGCGGGGGAUCGCAAGACCUCGCGCAAUUGGAGCGGCCGAUAUCAGAUUAGGUAGUUGGUGGGGUAAAGGCCUACCAAGCCGACGAUCUGUAGCUGGUCUGAGAGGACGACCAGCCACACUGGGACUGAGACAAGGCCCAGACUCCUACGGGAGGCAGCAGUGGGGAAUUUUGGACAAUGGGGGCAACCCUGAUCCAGCCAUGCCGCGUGCGGGAAGAAGGCCUUCGGGUUGUAAACCGCUUUUGUCAGGGAAGAAAAGACUCCUACUAAUACUGGGGGUUCAUGACGGUACCUGAAGAAUAAGCACCGGCUAACUACGUGCCAGCCGCCGCCGUAA
This 498-nucleotide ribosomal RNA is filed under the name uncultured bacterium. RNAcentral's name for it is "partial 16S ribosomal RNA". It matches the Rfam family "Bacterial small subunit ribosomal RNA", at positions 30 to 523 of the family's 1533-position model. The record is from RNAcentral.